Molecule: long non-coding RNA, 1799 nt
Organism: Anguilla rostrata (American eel)
Lineage: Eukaryota; Metazoa; Chordata; Actinopteri; Anguilliformes; Anguillidae
Exons: 7
Source: RefSeq, a predicted model, not a curated record
CGGUAAGUCAUCAAGAACGCCUUCUCAGUCUCACUGGUACACGGUGCAUGGACCACAAAUUCAAACUACAGUUCCACGGAUCCACAGUGGCAACAAACGAACAACCAUAGUACGCCGACCUGAAAUUAAAACAGUUUCUACUGUAUUACCGACUUACAGCGAACAGUUCAGUGCGGUGUGCGGUGUUCGGAGGCAGUGUAAAUCUCGUCACAAUCAGGAAAUCAAGCUCCUGUGCAAGCUUUCUGCUUCUUUGUAUAAUGGAUAAGGAGCUGGUCUUGUAACCUGAAGGUCACCGGUUCGAUUCCCUGGUGGGACACUGCCGUUGUACCCUUGAGCCAAGACAGCUGCCGGCCAUGGUGGCUCUGCAGACUCUGCACCUGAGAAACACCCAGCGCACCCAGAGCAACAUGCCCACCAGCAUGGAGGGCCUCUCUAACCUGGCAGUAUAAUGGAUAAGGAGCUGGUCUUGUAACCUGAAGGUCACCGGUUCGAUUCCCUGGUGGGACACUGCCGUUGUACCCUUGAGCCCAGGUGCUGAUGUCCCAGUACUUCUGCCAGCUCACCGACUGAACACAUGUUCACUGGACCCAGUGGAUGACACACCCAACUGUUUCUCUCCUUUCCCCUCUCAGACACACAGUUGUACUCAAGCAUGUCACCCUUGUGACACCUGAGCUGACACCUGAUGCUUAAUCUGGCCAAGACCAAGCUGCUCUACAUUCCCACCAAGUCCACUCUCCUCCAGGACCUCUCCGUCACCCUGGACAACACUGUGUAUCAUGUUUUCUUUCAGCACAACCUUCAAUUAAGUCUACAAAAUCUGCGCUUCAAGAUCAUUCAAAUGAUUUUAAGAUCAUUAUUGCAAAUAUUCUAGAGUGUGGGUGCGGAGGACAAAGGCAAUUUUCUGCAAUUUGAAAUAAUGUCUAUAAAAUGUGCACAAUUUUGCAAUGCAAAUAGAAAAUAAUUUUAUUACUUACCUAAUAGCUUGAUUCUGGAGAACUGCUUAUAGCUGAUGGUACUGAGUAUUUUGUGAAUGAAUCGCAGUAAUGUUAAUCAGGAAAGAUGACUGAAAACGGCUCGAGGCCAAUGAUCAGUUUAAGUGGAAAUUUUCCACCCUGCUCGAUUUUUAGCUCAGCAGCUGCCACUGCUUCCUGAACCCAGGUGGUAAAAUAAUUAGUGAAAGUAGGCGCUGCAGUUAAGUAACGUUACUAUAGUGACUGCCAUAAACCUUGGAGAGAUGCUCAACAGAAACCUGCCCUCUGCUGAUAAGGUAGCGUCGGUGAGCCGGGCAUGCGGAUUCUUCCCCUGCAGCACCUGAAGAAUCCUCUCCUUCGUCACCAUCACGUUCACUCAGCACCUGGUCUAAGGCCUUGGUGCUCUCUCGCCUGGAGUUCUGCAACUGUGUCUUCAACUGGCCUCCCUCCCUGUGCUAAAGUUGCUAGUCUAACGUCCUGAAUUAACCGCUAGCAGUGAUUUAUAUACUGUACAUUGAAACUAGCCAUGCUACUAACAUUUUGGCUAUUGUAUUACAUUUUUUUUUUCAGUAUAUCAUUGAUUAGUUGUUGGAACACUGUUUUAUGCACUGUUGUGAUAUGUUCUUUUGUUGACUGAUGACUCUCAUUCGCAUGUGUUCUAAUACUCCCUGUAACUGUACUGUUGUCCAUGUAGUCUUAUUAUAUGCAUGUAUGUGCCUUUGCUUUGUAAUUCACUCUCGAUAAGAGCAGCUGACAAAUAAACUGAAGUGUCUUCAAGUAUAAACUACUUAAAAUUUCUAUAAAAACACACAUUUUUAUUCAUUU